This 64-nucleotide transfer RNA is filed under the name Paegniodes cupulatus. RNAcentral's name for it is "tRNA-His". Lineage: Eukaryota; Metazoa; Arthropoda; Insecta; Ephemeroptera; Heptageniidae. The record is from RNAcentral.
ACUUGGGUAGUUUAAUUAAGAUUUUGAUUUGUGGUGUCAAAGAUGUGGAAUACCACCCUAGGUC